AUGCAGUGCCUCCAUUUCUUCAUCCAACUGAAGGGUGCACAAAGUCCAAGAGAGGACCACCUCUUACACUGUGACAUGCUGCUCUGCAAGGUCGUAUGUAUUGAACUCAGCAGCACUGUUGGAUGUUUUGGGGUCCUGGACAUGACCAGCUUUUCAAGAGGUGGAGGAGAUAACACCUUAAGCAGGGGAAGAACUAAAAUAACAGAAGAAGCAUCAAGAAAGCAGAUUCUACAAGUAAAAACCUGUAGGAGAUAUUCCUAAAGCUGUUCAACUUUUUGGUGCUGGAAGGUGAUCCUCUUAUUGCUCAAGACAGGUUUUCUUUUUCCUGUUGCCUUGAUACUGUUGUACUUAUUUACUCUAAAGAGGGACGAAAUUAAGAAUAUUAAAUCUUUGGGGAGACCAGCACAAAUCUGGCAAAAGACUGAAACGUAACUGCAAAAAAAUAUGUAACUGGAAAUGUUAGUGGUUAUAAACAGGUGUGUAGAGGAAGAUAGUCACAGAAGCUGAGACUAUAAAUGUUCUCCAUGGAAUAUGUCACCAUCCCCAGCUCUUGGCAUGCUGCAAAUUAAAAACACUCAUUAAAUGUUUCCUGAUUCGGACAUAGCACAAAAUUCUUCCUGUGGGAAAAUAGAGUGUAGGGCAAUUUGCUGUAAUCUGCUACAUCUACAGAUGUGUGGAAACUGUGUUAGAAAAGCCAUGGACCUUCUAAUUAUUUUUC
Molecule: long non-coding RNA, 718 nt
Filed under: Numida meleagris (helmeted guineafowl)
Lineage: Eukaryota; Metazoa; Chordata; Aves; Galliformes; Numididae
Description: lncRNA (ENSNMEG00000004932.1)
Source: RNAcentral